This 556-nucleotide long non-coding RNA is filed under the name Fukomys damarensis (Damara mole-rat). RNAcentral's name for it is "lncRNA (ENSFDAG00000023116.1)". The record is from RNAcentral. Lineage: Eukaryota; Metazoa; Chordata; Mammalia; Rodentia; Bathyergidae.
CUGCAAGGAAAACAUAGGAUGCUACUCUCAGAGUGACCUUCCACAGCAUACAGUUGGCAAAGGGGAGAUCUAAACUUCAUUCUCAUGGCUCUUGAUUGACUCCAUCAUCCUAAUCUCAAGAGCUGUCGGACCAACGAUGAGCCUUGAAGAAAAGCCCACCCACAAAAGUGCAAGAUGUCUUUAAUAUGAAUCUUUCUGUAGCUGUCUCACCAUUUGUUCAGCUCACUAGUCAUUCUGCUUUCAACAUCGAUGAAGCGAAUAUGCAAAUGAAUAUGCAAAUGACGGCCCGGGGAGGUUGGGCCUCGGCUUUCCUUGCGCAGGAAAGGGAUGGAUGGAGAUGAAGAUGGCAAGAAGAGAUGAAGCACUCCUGGAGAGGGUUACCCCCUUCUCUUUCCCUCACUGUAAAUGACUCUUACACACCUGGACAUGGAGUGUAAAUACAUAUGAAUUCGCGGUGCCUGAAUGGCACAUUGUGCAUCUUUUAGAAAUCAGUUCUCCAAACAGCUUAAGUCAGAUUUCAUCCUGGAAGUUCCUUCUCUGUACGAAUGACAACACA